AAAAUUAAAAAAAAAUAAUAAAAUAAAAUCAGUUCAAAAGUCACCGUACCAAGACAGCAGCAUACAUGAAUGAAGUAUUAUAAAGAACUCAGUCCCUUAAAUAUUCAUAAAGUGUUGCGAAUCAUUACAAGUUAUGUUUGUAAGGGCUCAGUAGUUAAAAACACAGGUUUUUAAUACACAAUUUUUAUGUGUAUCAAAAUAUUUUAUAAUUUUCUCAAAAUUAAAGUCCAUUAAUCUAACUUUUGAAGAAUCAAAAAGGCUAUCAGUAAAAAUCUAAAUUAGUAAUCAUUAUUAUUUGUCCUUGCAAGAGACAAAU
RNAcentral lists this unclassified non-coding RNA (316 nucleotides) under Hevea brasiliensis (rubber tree). The record is from RNAcentral. Lineage: Eukaryota; Viridiplantae; Streptophyta; Magnoliopsida; Malpighiales; Euphorbiaceae.